AUAAAUUGUUCUUAGUGGGGGAUUUUUCCCAAACUAUUUCCUGUCCCGAUACAAACAAAAAGAUGUAGAGAAGAACGAUACAACACAAAAAACACAACCUCUACUUUACUUUAAGCAGGCGACUGUACAGUGUGUGGAGUGGAAACCAUGCUUACUGUGAGAUGUAUUGUACCGACAGCAGGUAACACUACGGGUAACGCAACUUACUAAGGAAGAAGCAGGAAGGAUUUGAAAAAAAAGAGAAAAUGUGAAAUUUGUGCUUCGAAGACAAAAACAAUUUUUUUAAAUGCUAAGAAUCAUCCCAAUUCAGUUUCGUUUCACUCUCUACAUUUUUUCUUGUAAGGCGUAAUGCCGUAGUUUGACAAAAAACAGAUCCCAUGAGGUGAUUUGUAAGAUACAACACCCGUUGGUAUGCCUUUUAAUGUUUUUAAUAACAUGUCUUAAUGAUUUUUAUUGGGAGGACGGCUGAGAGAAAUUGACGGCAGUCAGUGCAUCCAUUCCUUCGUUGCACAUGUUGAUUUUACUUUUACUCGAGAAUAACGCCAGGCGGUUCUUUUUUUUAAGCAAUAACUACAUCAUUCGAACAUUAAUUAAUGCUUAUAAGAGCUCUUCAAAAGUAUCUAUAAAGGUUGAGCCAGCUGGUAUUUUUAUGUCGGCAACUUGAUACAAUUGUUGUGUAUGAUUAGUCGCUACAUAUUUAUUUCAUAGAUUUUCAGUGAAAAUCAAAUUUAUUUUUGGAUUCCUUCUUCAAAACUCAUAAACAGCCGUCAACUUGUAAACAGAGGCUCACUAAUAGAUGACGC
Non-coding RNA from Schizosaccharomyces pombe (fission yeast), 803 nucleotides. NCBI's taxonomy places the organism in Eukaryota, Fungi, Ascomycota, Schizosaccharomycetes, Schizosaccharomycetales, Schizosaccharomycetaceae. The record is from the annotation of a GenBank genome assembly.